GGUGCGAUGGCCGAGAGGCGAGGCACAGGACUGCAAAUCCUGCUACACGGGUUCAAAUCCCGUUCGCACCUC
RNAcentral lists this transfer RNA (72 nucleotides) under uncultured Actinomycetes bacterium. Its description in RNAcentral is "uncultured actinobacterium tRNA-Cys". It matches the Rfam family "tRNA". Rfam says of the family: Transfer RNA (tRNA) molecules are approximately 80 nucleotides in length. Their secondary structure includes four short double-helical elements and three loops (D, anti-codon, and T loops). The record is from RNAcentral. Lineage: Bacteria; Bacillati; Actinomycetota; Actinomycetes.